AGUGAACGCUGGCGGUAGGCCUAACACAUGCAAGUCGAACGGCAGCACAGUAAGAGCUUGCUCUUACGGGUGGCGAGUGGCGGACGGGUGAGGAAUACAUCGGAAUCUACUUUUUCGUGGGGGAUAACGUAGGGAAACUUACGCUAAUACCGCAUACGACCUACGGGUGAAAGCAGGGGAUCUUCGGACCUUGCGCGAUUGAUGGAGCCGAUGUCGGAUUAGCUAGUUGGCGGGGUAAAGGCCCACCAAGGCGACGAUCCGUAGCUGGUCUGAGAGGAUGAUCAGCCACACUGGAACUGAGACACGGUCCAGACUCCUACGGGAGGCAGCAGUGGGGAAUAUUGGACAAUGGGCGCAAGCCUGAUCCAGCCAUACCGCGUGGGUGAAGAAGGCCUUCGGGUUGUAAAGCCCUUUUGUUGGGAAAGAAAAGCAGCAGGUUAAUACCCCGCUGUUCUGACGGUACCCAAAGAAUAAGCACCGGCUAACUUCGU
Molecule: ribosomal RNA, 491 nt
Filed under: uncultured bacterium
Lineage: Bacteria
Description: partial 16S ribosomal RNA
Rfam family: Bacterial small subunit ribosomal RNA
Source: RNAcentral